UACCGUGUCUUCCCGUGACCAUUCUCCACACAAAGCCAUGUCUUUAGGUUUGAUGGAACAUCUUAAAUGUGUGUGUUGGUUACGUGUUGUGUGUCUGUCUCUCAGCUACCAUCCAUCUGUCUCCUGCCAUCUACCACCUAUCUAUGCCUUUUUCUGUCCUCCGUAUAAAAACAAUAUCUCAAAGCUAAGUGUUUGUUCUUACAGCGUAUCCUUUUACCUUAAGUGGGAGGGGCUCAUGUUAUUUAGUAAAUGUAUCAGUUAUGAGGGUGUUUUUGCUUUUUCUUUUGGGGUAAUGCUGUCUUCCAAAUAUGUGUGAAUUUUAAGUGCUCAAUAAAAUGAACUUACCAAAUUGCAUGUGAUAUUUAAUAUCAUUUCCAAUAUAAAUGUGGUCAGCUGGACAUUUGCUUCAGGCCCUUGCUUCUAGCUUGAGCCCACCCUCACUGAAGGAAAGAUUCUGUUUCUUUCCUUCCAACUCUUUUCUUCCUUUUAUGCCCCUCCCACCUCUUCUUUCUUUUCCUCCUCA
This 523-nucleotide long non-coding RNA is filed under the name Rattus norvegicus (Norway rat). RNAcentral describes it as "long non-coding RNA NONRATT021962". Lineage: Eukaryota; Metazoa; Chordata; Mammalia; Rodentia; Muridae. The record is from RNAcentral.